AUGGGCGUGCGCUCAAAGGAUACAAACAGGGAUUCGCCAACAAAAGGGGGAAUUCGUAGUCACUUUUUCCUGUCACGUAAAAAAAGUCUUUACACCUGAGAAAAUGGUUGGUAUACAUCUAUCUCUUCUGAGCAAACUCUUCUGGAUUCUUAA
RNAcentral lists this ribosomal RNA (153 nucleotides) under Triticum aestivum (bread wheat). Its description in RNAcentral is "partial small subunit ribosomal RNA". The record is from RNAcentral. Lineage: Eukaryota; Viridiplantae; Streptophyta; Magnoliopsida; Poales; Poaceae.